UACGAAGGGGGGCUAGCGUUGCUCGGAAUCACUGGGCGUAAAGCGCACGUAGGCGGAUCUUUAAGUCAGGGGUGAAAGUCCCAAGGCUCAACCUUGGAACUGCCUUUGAUACUGAGGAUCUUGAGUUCGGGAGAGGUGAGUGGAACUGCGAGUGUAGAGGUGAAAUUCGUAGAUAUUCGCAAGAACACCAGUGGCGAAGGCGGCUCACUGGCCCGAUACUGACGCUGAGGCACGAAAGCGUGGGGAGCAACA
RNAcentral lists this ribosomal RNA (252 nucleotides) under uncultured bacterium. RNAcentral describes it as "partial 16S ribosomal RNA". It matches the Rfam family "Bacterial small subunit ribosomal RNA", at positions 524 to 773 of the family's 1533-position model. The record is from RNAcentral.